UACGGGGGGGCAAGCGUUGUUCGGAAUUACUGGGCGUAAAGGGCGCGUAGGCGGACUUUUAAGUUGGGGGUGAAAGCCCGGGGCUCAACCUCGGAAUUGCCUUCAAUACUGGAUGUCUUGAGUUCGGGAGAGGUGAGUGGAAUGCCGAGUGUAGAGGUGAAAUUCGUAGAUAUUCGGCGGAACACCAGUGGCGAAGGCGACUCACUGGCCCGAUACUGACGCUGAGGCGCGAAAGCGUGGGGAGCAAACAGG
Molecule: ribosomal RNA, 252 nt
Filed under: uncultured bacterium
Lineage: Bacteria
Description: partial 16S ribosomal RNA
Rfam family: Bacterial small subunit ribosomal RNA
Source: RNAcentral